GAUGAAGAACGUAGCGAAAUGCGAUAAGUAAUGUGAAUUGCAGAAUUCAGUGAAUCAUCGAAUCUUUGAACGCACAUUGCGCCAGCCAGUAUUCUGGCGGGCAUGCCUGUUCGAGCGUCAUUUCAACCAUCAAGCCCCAGGCUUGUGUUGGAGCCCUGCGGCUGCCGCAGCCUCCCAAAACCAGUGGCGGGCUCGCUAUCACACCGAGUGCAGUAGUUUACUCUUCGCUCAGGGCGUGUGGCGGGUGAUAGCCGUAAAACCCCCAACUUCUCAAGGUUGACCUCGGAUCAGGUAGGAAUACCCGCUGAACUUAAGCAUAUCAAUAAGCGGAGGA
This 334-nucleotide unclassified non-coding RNA is filed under the name soil metagenome. RNAcentral's name for it is "partial contains 5.8S ribosomal RNA, internal transcribed spacer 2, and large subunit ribosomal RNA". The stretch from base 1 to 120 matches the Rfam family "5.8S ribosomal RNA", at positions 35 to 154 of the family's 154-position model. The record is from RNAcentral.